Long non-coding RNA from Cynoglossus semilaevis (tongue sole), 995 nucleotides. RefSeq lists it as uncharacterized. The transcript has 3 exons. The record is from RefSeq and is a predicted model, not a curated record. NCBI's taxonomy places the organism in Eukaryota, Metazoa, Chordata, Actinopteri, Pleuronectiformes, Cynoglossidae.
GCCAUGCUCCCAGGCUUAUUUAACACAUUCAUCUGUUAACGUCAGAGGUGGAAAGUAACGAAUUUUAUUUACUCACGUCUCUAUAAUGGAGUAUUUUUUGUUAGUAAUUUGUAAUUUUUAAGCUGUUUUAAGUAACUAAAGUUUUACUUAAGCAUAUUUUGACUCAAGUAUUUUACUUCGCUACAUUUGAAACGAUCCCGUAGUUGAGUAAAUUAAAUGUGGGGGGGACAAUCUGCGUUAAUUUGAAGAAAUUUGCGAGGGCGUGCGCGGAUUUCGCACUAUGUUAUUGUAGCCAGAGAAAGUUGACUAACAGACGGGCUCUAUCCUGUCCUUGUAAGAUGGCUGGUGCCAAACAGGAAAUGGAUUACGAGAAUUGCCAAGCAGUGGGCCCCCGUGGAGCAGAUGACUCAGAAAAAGAAGGAAAUUAUUGGCCAUAUCUCAGGCAUCUCUGCGAAAGCAUGUGUCGGUUUGGAGGAUCUUAACAGAAAAAUAAUAAGUGCAUCGUGAUAUAUAGGAUGGAAACAGCUGCUACGCCUCAAACUGAUCCCAGUCUGUUGGUCUAGGUAACUCCAACAACCCCCACUCAGACGAUAGGGAGGGGGAAGGAUCCACCACAGGGCCAAUGACUCACAUGACCACUUAAUGGUCAUAUUGUUUGGGCCCAUGACCACAUUACUCAACACCACACACCCCCUUUUGGGGUGGAUAAAUACCUGGAAAUUCCCCACCAGGAACGUGGAACUGAUGAAGCCUCUUGGACAAGACUCACUUCUGGUGAGUCCAGUUGCCUACUUUAAAACUGCUUCUCCAAAAAUAAAAGUUUCUUAAAAAUGACCACCCCUUUUGGGGUGGAUAAAUUGGGUGGAUAAAUACCUGAUCACAGUAUAAUACUUUACCAAUACAUUUCCGAAUAAAUCUCCGAAAAUAAAAGUUUCUCAAAAAUGACUAAAAAUGCACUCAUUUGCCUUAAAAUACUUAGCUAUGUCCAUUUUUGU